UGUGAAAAAUAACCUAAUGGUUUCCAAGC
This 29-nucleotide small RNA is filed under the name Bombyx mori (domestic silkworm). RNAcentral describes it as "ovarian small RNA-9086". The record is from RNAcentral. Lineage: Eukaryota; Metazoa; Arthropoda; Insecta; Lepidoptera; Bombycidae.